UGGGGAUCUCGAUGGAUUACAAUGUGGA
This 28-nucleotide small RNA is filed under the name Bombyx mori (domestic silkworm). RNAcentral's name for it is "ovarian small RNA-8808". Lineage: Eukaryota; Metazoa; Arthropoda; Insecta; Lepidoptera; Bombycidae. The record is from RNAcentral.